This 484-nucleotide ribosomal RNA is filed under the name uncultured bacterium. RNAcentral describes it as "partial 16S ribosomal RNA". It matches the Rfam family "Bacterial small subunit ribosomal RNA", at positions 30 to 507 of the family's 1533-position model. The record is from RNAcentral.
AUUGAACGCUGGCGGCAGGCCUAACACAUGCAAGUCGAGCGGAUGCAGGGAGCUUGCUCCUGGUUUCAGCGGCGGACGGGCGAGUAAUGCCUAGGAAUCUGCCUGGCUGCGGGGGAUAACGUCCGGACACGGGCGCUAAUACCGCAUACGUCCUGAGGGCGAACGUGGGGGAUCUUCGGACCUUACGCUCUCGGAUGAGCCUAGGUCGGAUUAGCUAGUUGGUGGGGUAAAGGCCUACCAAGGCGACGAUCCGUAACUGGUCUGAGAGGAUGAUCAGUCACACUGGAACUGAGACACGGUCCAGACUCCUACGGGAGGCAGCAGUGGGGAAUAUUGGACAAUGGGCGAAAGCCUGAUCCAGCCAUGCCGCGUGUGUGAAGAAGGUCUUCGGAUUGUAAAGCACUUUAAGUGGGGAGGAAGAGCAGUAAGUUAAUACCUUGCUGUUUUGACGGUACCAACAGAAUAAGCACCGGCUAACUUCGUG